UUACCGGUAAUCAAACCAGCGUGCGCUGGAUU
RNAcentral lists this small RNA (32 nucleotides) under Bombyx mori (domestic silkworm). Its description in RNAcentral is "ovarian small RNA-36484". Lineage: Eukaryota; Metazoa; Arthropoda; Insecta; Lepidoptera; Bombycidae. The record is from RNAcentral.